This is an RNA transcript of Aedes albopictus (Asian tiger mosquito), 8911 nucleotides long. RefSeq lists it as uncharacterized. The record is from RefSeq and is a predicted model, not a curated record. NCBI's taxonomy places the organism in Eukaryota, Metazoa, Arthropoda, Insecta, Diptera, Culicidae. The transcript has 2 exons.
CCGAAUCCACGCCAGCGCGCCUCUACAAGUUUGAUAUCUCUACACGAACCAUUCAUCGUACCCAUUGUCGGCAGAUAUGACACGAACUGUCAUAGCGGUGAGUUGGCAGAUGUAUAGACAGAUGUAAUGAUAGGAGGAAGAGAAAGUGCAUCUAUGUGCAACCAGGUGUUGAAUUCUAGAUUAUUGAUAAUGCACUAAUUUUGGAACAAUUUGAACUAGAAUAUUUGUGAACUAGUGUGUAUACCAGAAGGUAUUUUGUAAUGCUUAUAUUGAAGUGAAUUGUUAUCUAACAUGCUCUGAAAUUUAACAGGAAUUCGUAGUCCUUAAUAUCUCCGUACGCUUAACCUAAAUUACUAGUGAACACUUACAAGCUAAAGGGUAAAUAACUAAAUCAACGAAAUACUUAAUGACAUGCAAUUAUCUAAAUCUAGCCUAAUUAUAGUACGGAUUGUAAGUACGAAUCGAUAGUACGGAUUGAACGAACAAAAUCGCUCGCUCACACAUAAACAGCAAGCGAUUUGCAGCAGGCAACAACGUUAGACCGGCUCAAGAAGACAGACAGAUAUACUGGACUUGGCAUAGCAAGGAGACUAAACGUAAGUUAGACGUAUAGACUAAGGAUUAUCUGUGACUAUCUAAUGUUGGUUCUGAUGAGUGACAAUAACUAAGACAAACAUCAUGCAUUUCAGGAAAAUAAUAAUCCCCCUACCAGUAAUCAUAAACGACUGUCUUUUACUUCGGGAUUAUUAUUUCGGAAAAUUUUUCUCUGUUGGCAAUUUUCCAACAAAUUAUUAUUUUCGUUUAUACGAAGUCGCAAAAUAGCCGGUCAUGUCGCGUCGAACUCUACGGUCGGGUAAGGUGGUUGGUGAGACUGCUAGUGAAAAUCUUAGUGCAAAUGGUGGCGUGCAAGUGGUGGUCACGGCUGAUCCGGAAGAGUCGCAUCCCGGACAAACAUGCCAAGUGUGCCGUGUGCUGGAUACAGUUGAUAUGGUGCAGUGCGACGUGUGUUCCAAGUGGCAUCACUUCCGGUGCGUAGGAGUCACGCAGCAAAUAGAACAUUUUCCAUGGAGUUGUGCCAAAUGCGAAUCAGCGAAAGGAGUUCAGGAAAUCGGUUCUACUGCAGCUCUUCUUCAAGGAAGCGGUGGUCCAUUAGGACAGUCGUUCAAAUCUCACGCGAACAGACUGUCAGUGCAGUCAGAUCAGCUCCAACAUCAACAACGAGCCCAGCAACAGCAUCAGCAGAGUCCCGAUGUAGCAGCUUGUCAGCUAGCCUUCUCGCGUGCAGCGGAUGAGUCAAACCAACCCAAGGGAGAAGAUCAAGCUCCGUUCGUCUCUUCGCUUCAGUGGGUUGUGUCCCCUUCGCAACACAGAUCCAAAGCCUCAUCGGAGUCUUCGAGUCGGUCAUCACAAGCCCUCGCUAGGCUAAAACUUCAAAUGCUGGAAGAGAUUAGGGACGUCGAGCGGCGUGAAGCAGAGCGCCAACGAGCAAUCGCAGCGGAGGAAGCAAACAAGGAAAAGGCAUUCCUGGAGCAGAAGUAUCAUCUAUUGGAGCAGGCCAUGAGCGAAAACGGCUCCUCUAAAAGCGAUUCUAUGACCAGAACGCAGAACUGGAUCGCAGCUACAAAUACGCAUCGCAAUAGGCAGAUAGUAGCUCAAAACGACAUCCAAACCAACUCGAACGUGCGAGCUGGUGAGAUGCAAGUUUGGAAUCCACCAGCUACGCGGAUUAGUAGGUGUCGUUCGUCGCUAUCAGAACCAAAUCCUCCGGAUCCAUUUCCAGCGCCGGAGUCCAUGCUGAGUUGCCCCGUAGAUCCACCAGCGCUGAACGUCGGAAUGCAGCGGUUAGCUAUAGGGUCGCAGAAUCAAAUCCCCCCGCCGAUGCAGUCGCGACCGAUUCCACCGCCUUCGCGUCGGGUUUCUAUGGCACAGUUACCUUAUUCUGGUGACCGUGGAGCAGCUGCACCGGACCAUUCCAAAAACAUGGAAGCAGAUCCAUCACGACGGUUCUCACAUAACAUGUCGGUUCCGGAGUACCAGAGGUUCGCCCCUCACUCGAGUCAAUCAGCAGUCCAUCAGCAGCACCAUCCUCAGUCAUCUACCAUGCGUGAAAACCGCCUCUACGAACAAGAGGAGGAAGAAUCUGACCCAUACCCAAUAACUCGAAGGCAGCUGGCUGCCCGACAAGCCAUCUCGAAGGAUCUUCCAACGUUUUCUGGAGAUCCAGAAGAUUGGCCUAUGUUUCUAGCCACCUUCAACAGUACCACCGCCCUCUGUGGUUUUACCAAUGAUGAAAACAUCGCCCGCUUGCAGCGAAGCUUGAAAGGUCGAGCAUAUGAAGCGGUCAAAAGUCGGCUACUGCAUCCAUCCAACGUCAUUGGAAUAAUGUCAACCCUCAAGAUGCUGUUCGGGCAACCGGAAGUAAUAAUUCAUUCAAUGAUGGCAAAGAUCAACUCCUUUCCGGCACUGAAAGAGGACAAAUUAGAGAUGAUUGUGGACUUCGCCGUCAGUGUUCAAAACUUCUGUGCAACCGUGGACGCGUGUGGAUUGGAAGAAUAUUUCUACAACAUGACCUUCCUCCACCAACUCGUGAACAAAUUGCCACCAUCGAUCAAGCUGAAUUGGGCGCAGUACCGAUUAUCGCUACCGACGGUCAACUUGUCGUCUUUCAGCAGCUGGCUCUACUCUCUAGCUGAAGCUGCUAGUGCCGUUACCAUCCCGAACACCAUUUUCGAGUUUCAUCCCGCACGUAACGACUCGCGUGCGGCCAAGAAGACCAACUCAUUCGUAAACGCUCAUUCCGAGGAAGCCUCGUCAGGUCAGCACUCCGCAGCACCUUCAAGCUCGAAAGAAGGAAGCUGCUUAAUAUGCAAAGGAAGCUGCAAUGCGAUCACCAAAUGUGAUCGUUUCCUGGGAUUCUCUCGCGAUUCUCGCUGGGCGACUGUACGGGAUCUAGGCCUCUGCCGCCGAUGUCUACGCCAACAUAAGGGAGGAUGCCAAGCAAAACUUUGUGGGAAGAAUGGCUGUGAGUUGAAGCAUCACGAGUUGCUGCACAAUGAUCAGAGGAGCGCACCGCUACCGUCAAACGCUUUUCCAUGUGUUUCGAGCAAACCAUCGUCGAUUCAGCGUACAGAAACCACGUCAGACACAGUGCCAAAUUCUACUGAGCACGGGUGCCAUGUUCACCAGGUCACUUCCAGUCAUGUGUUGUUCCGCUAUAUACCCGUAGUGCUCCACGGAAAGCACCAAUCAAUCGAGACAUUCGCCUUUCUGGAUGACGGAUCCGAGCUCACUUUGCUUGACGAGGAACUUGCGGAUGCACUGCAACUGGAGGGCGAAGAAACACCAUUAUGCUUGUUGUGGACUGGAGGAGCGAAGCGACGAGAAGCUGAUUCAAAAAGCGUUCAGCUGGAGGUCGCUGCAAGGCACAACAGUUCCAAAAAGUACACCAUGCAUGGGGUACGCACAGUUGCUCAACUACUUCUUCCAUCACAGACACUCAACUUCGAAGAGAUGUCUGAGUUAUAUCCGCAUCUUAAGGGCCUGCCGAUUUGUUCAUAUCAAGAUGUUCGGCCACGUAUACUCAUCGGGAUGAAGGAUCAGCACCUCAGCCUUGUUCAGAAGAGCCGUGAGGGAGCGAUACACGAGCCGAUCGCUGUAAAAACUCGACUAGGAUGGACGGUUUGUGGAGAAGGAAAUCGCGACACCGGUGCCAACCUUGACCACUCGGUAUUUCAUAUCUGUGAAUGCAACUCUGUUGCGGACGCAAGCCUGCAUCAACUGAUGAAAGAAUACUUCGCGAUAGACAGUGUAGGAAUUGCUCAUCCGAAGAACCAACUUCUCUCGAUCGAAGAAGAGCAAGCGCAGAGUCUGCUCGAGACACGCACAGUGCUGAAGGGAAACCGCUACGAAACUGGACUAUUGUGGCGAUACGAUAAUGUUCGAUUGCCGGACAGUUUUCCGAUGGCCUAUCGACGACUCCAGUGUCUCAAAAAGAGAAUGGACAAAGACCCUCAACUAGAGGUAGCACUAAACAAAAAGAUCACCGACUUUGUCGAAAGCGGAUAUGCCAGGAAACUCACCGAUGACGAACUCUCCCAAAGUUUCCCUCGUAAAUGGUACUUGCCGGUAUUUCCCGUGACAAAUGUCAACAAGCCAGGGAAGAUUCGAAUGGUGUGGGACGCUGCAGCGGUCGCCCACGGAGUGUCUUUAAAUUCCGUGCUACUUAAAGGACCUGAUCAACUAUGCGAGCUCUUCACUAUAUUGGUUCAAUUCCGAGAGGGACAGGUUGCCUUAACUGGAGACGUGCGUGAAAUGUUUCUGCAAGUACUAAUGCGCCAGGAAGACCAGCAAUGUCAGCGGUUCCUCUGGUAUGACAAAGAUGGGACACUCUCUGUCUACGUGAUGCAGGUUAUGACAUUCGGAGCAUGCUGCUCCCCUAGUAGCGCUCAAUAUGUUAAAAACCUGAACGCCGAGCGAUUCAGAGCAGAUUAUCCAGAGGCAGUCGAAGUGAUCCACAAGCGCCACUACGUUGAUGACAUGUUGGUGAGUGUGGCAACAGAAGAAGAAGCGAUCAAACUCGCACAGCAAGUGAGGAAGGUACAUGCAGAAGGCGGAUUUGAAAUCCGUAAUUGGAUCAGCAACUCCAAACGCGUCACCGGUGCCUUAGAGGAAAAUCACGCAGAACAAAAGAACCUUGACCUGUCGCCAGAACUAGCCACAGAGAAGGUGCUCGGUAUGUGGUGGUGUACCGAUUCAGAUACCUUUACAUACAAGGUUGGUUGGAAUCGUUAUGGUCGAGCACUGCUAGAAGGCCAGCAUCGUCCAACUAAACGACAGAUGCUACGUGUCCUCAUGUCGGUAUUCGAUCCGCUUGGGCUAAUUGCUCAGUUUCUGAUGUAUUUGAAGGUCCUACUCCAAGACGUGUGGCGCUCCGGCAUCGGCUGGGAUGAUCAAGUUGACGAAAUACUAUUUGAACGGUGGCAAACUUGGCUCCAAAUUCUUCCGCAAAUUGAACAAACCAGUAUUCCUCGUUGCUACUCUAGUGAACGAUAUGCCAACUGUGGAGACGUGCAGCUGCACACCUUCGUGGAUGCUAGUGAGAAUGGUAUCGCGGCUGCCUGCUACCUGCGCUUCAACCAUGAUAACGCCGUGGAAUGCAGUAUAGUCGCCGCAAAAACCCGAGUCGCGCCGUUGAAGUUUUUAUCCAUACCCCGACUAGAACUUCAAGCAGCUUUGAUUGGAGCCCGUCUCGCUCGAACAGUCUCCGACGCCCUCACUGUUGAAAUUUCCCGCCGGGAAUUUUGGUCCGACUCCCAAGAUGUCCUGUGUUGGAUAAAAUCUGAUCACCGCCGCUACUCGUCAUUUGUAGCAUUUCGGAUUAGUGAGAUCCUAGAGUUGACGGAGAUUGCUGAUUGGAGGUACGUUCCCACUGACUUGAACGUUGCGGAUGAUGGAACGAAAUGGAAAGUACUUCCAGAUCUUAAGCCUGGAGCAAGAUGGUUCAACGGUCCACAAUUUCUUUACCUCCCAGAAGAUCAGUGGCCUCGCACUUUGAAAAAAUCAAACACUACCAACUUGGAACUCCGUCCCAGUGUAAUGGUGCACUGCAUCGCACCCGAAUCCAUAGUACGAGUAAUCGAUUUUUCGAGUUGGAGUCGACUAGUUCGAGUAAUUGCAUUUGUUUACCGAUUCUUCAACAACUGCAGGCGCAAACAUCUGGAAGAAUGUAUCAGCGGUCCUCUUUCCAGCCAAGAAAUGAAUUACGCUGAAACAUACCUGCUACGCCAGACGCAGCUGGAAGCCUAUCCAGAUGAAGUCGCUCUUCUCCAACUAUCGCAAACUGAACCGAAGCUAUCCAGAACACCAUUGCCUAAGACCAGCCCACUACACCAAAAAUCACCGUGGCUGGACCAGAAUGGAAUUCUGCGGAUGCGAGGCCGCAUCGCCAGCUGCGACUAUGCUACCGAAGACGCUAAACAUCCUGUUAUCCUUCCCCGUGACCACCCUACCACCAAAUUGAUCAUAGCACAUUUCCACCAAAAAUUCCACCACCAAAACCAUGAGACCGUAAUCAACGAAAUUCGACAAAAGUACAGUGUUCCGAAGCUUCGGACUGCUUUCGCCAAUGUUCGAAAGAGCUGCCAACGCUGCAAGAAUCACCGUGCCAAUCCAAGAGUUCCAAUAAUGGCCGAUCUACCAGCAGCCCGACUUGAUGCUUUCGCGCGCCCCUUUACUCACGUUGGGAUAGAUUUCUUCGGACCAUACGAGAUCGUCAUUGGCCGUAGGGCAGAAAAGCGUUGGGGUAUGCUGGCUACCUGCCUCACGACCCGUGCAAUCCACAUUGAAGUCGCCCACUCUCUCAGCACUGAUUCGUGUGUUAUGGCACUGCGAAACCUUAUUUCGAGAAGAGGGAAACCAAGAACUAUCCAUAGCGAUCGAGGGACGAAUUUCGUUGGAGCGAACCGAGAGUUGACCGAAGCGAAGUACUCCGUCGACCAAGCAGAACUCAUGAAAGAAUUCGUGGACGCAGACACCAGCUGGCAUUUUCUUCCCCCUUCGUCACCACACAUGGGUGGCAGUUGGGAACGCCUAAUCGGCAGCGUCAAGAGAAACCUUAUGGCAAUUUUACCAACGAGAAGAUUGUCAGAUGAAGUUCUACGAAACAUGCUCACCGAAGUAGAGAACACCGUCAACUCCCGACCAUUGACCCACGUUCCCGUAGAUGAUGAGUCCGCUCCUGCCCUAACGCCCAACCACUUUUUGAUUGGGUCAUCUAAUGGAGUGAAACCGCUCUGCACUAUCGAUGACAGUGGCGAAGCAUUACGACAGUGCUGGCGGCUAUCUCAAGUCCAGGCCAAUCGGUUUUGGAAGCGAUGGAUCAACGAUUAUCUCCCUGAAAUAACUCGCCGCACAAAGUGGUUCACCGAUACCAAACCAAUACAGGACAAUGACGUGGUAGUGAUUGUGGACUCUAAACUACCCCGGAACUGUUGGCCAAAGGGUCGAAUAAUCUGUACACAUCCUGGACGAGAUGGACAACCCAGAUCUGCGACAGUGCGGACAUCGACUGGUAUUUAUGAACGUCCGGUAGCCAAAUUAGCCGUGCUAGACGUUCGGCGCGUGACGAAGUAAGCUGACCAAGAGGCCAUCGUACCUGGGGGGACUGUUGCCGAAUCCACGCCAGCGCGCCUCUACAAGUUUGAUAUCUCUACACGAACCAUUCAUCGUACCCAUUGUCGGCAGAUAUGACACGAACUGUCAUAGCGGUGAGUUGGCAGAUGUAUAGACAGAUGUAAUGAUAGGAGGAAGAGAAAGUGCAUCUAUGUGCAACCAGGUGUUGAAUUCUAGAUUAUUGAUAAUGCACUAAUUUUGGAACAAUUUGAACUAGAAUAUUUGUGAACUAGUGUGUAUACCAGAAGGUAUUUUGUAAUGCUUAUAUUGAAGUGAAUUGUUAUCUAACAUGCUCUGAAAUUUAACAGGAAUUCGUAGUCCUUAAUAUCUCCGUACGCUUAACCUAAAUUACUAGUGAACACUUACAAGCUAAAGGUACGGAUUGUAAGUACGAAUCGAUAGUACGGAUUGAACGAACAAAAUCGCUCGCUCACACAUAAACAGCAAGCGAUUUGCAGCAGGCAACAACGUUAGACCGGCUCAAGAAGACAGACAGAUAUACUGGACUUGGCAUAGCAAGGAGACUAAACGUAAGUUAGACGUAUAGACUAAGGAUUAUCUGUGACUAUCUAAUGUUGGUUCUGAUGAGUGACAAUAACUAAGACAAACAUCAUGCAUUUCAGGAAAAUAAUAAUCCCCCUACCAGUAAUCAUAAACGACUGUCUUUUACUUCGGGAUUAUUAUUUCGGAAAAUUUUUCUCUGUUGGCAAUUUUCCAACACGCUCCAUAUAUUGCGCAAAACUAGACCCUCGAACAAAAUGGUCGACAGUACCGAUCAAAGAAGACAUGAUGGCUUAGGAAAUGACAAACAAUAGAAACUGAAACAAUAGGAAAUAUAAUGAACAAUAGAACGACUUACGUGACCUUUUCCUUACGGUGCUGAUCCAGUACUUCCGAUAUGGUGCUCUGCUGAUGUUGAAUCUGCUCCAGGCGUAACUUCAAAAACCGGUGCUAACCCUUUCUUGAUCUAACACACCCGAUUGCUCACUGUUCUCUUUCACUGGUGCUUACUGUCACACAAUUGGCUUUUACACGCUCUUCUAUUGUUUCCUCUUUGCUCACGAACACAUGCAAUUGUUACUCACUAUCCGCUACAAAUUUUCUUCGCGUUGCACUAUAUAGUUAAAACCACCGUUAUUAUAAUGCUAUUGCUGGCCCGGUUAUUGCUGCUGCCUCACAAUGUCGCUUCUUAAAUAUCAGUUUAUUUCGCCCUCACACGUGUUUUAUAAACUGCCGAUUUUCUUUUCAAAGUCCUGUUUUUAUUUGUUCGCACUGAUUCGAUGAAAAGAACUGAUUCCAACACCUCUUCAAACAAUUAAUCGCUGCGUACAAAAUUAACAGUGAAUAAUUGUUCAUGGGACACAAGCCUCAGUUCUAUUGUUCACACACGGUCAAUUGUUCCGAAUAUUGCCGCUAUGAAAUUUAAACUACUCUAUACUGAGAAUACUAACAAAUCUCAGUUUUCCAAGUAGCACGAUUCACUUAAAAAAAAAAGUUUUUCCUCGUCGAAACUGAAAAAAUAUAACUUUAGGGUUUUCUUCGGAUAAAAGGGGUUCACCUAAAACACUUGUUCACUCCUUGACGACCUGAACUAAAAGAGGUCGAUUGCUUCUUUAUUGCCCAUCAUUACACUUCUGCUAUAAAUGGUUUAUUCAGAUUGCGCACUACUACACAGAACGUUAACAUCGAAUUAUGGCUACGAAAACGGGUGCCUCCCUUUAGCUAUACACAUCAGUUUGUU